CGUCAUGCUGGGAUGCCAUUCUGACCAUAUUUAGACAUGUCACAUGUUUCUAUCAAAUACAAUUUGAUUGUCUGAACAGCAUGUAAAAUAAGAAGGUUUAUGUAAGGACGUGGGAGGAAUUCAAGUUUGGUGUGAUACAUAUGUGAUAAACAAUAUCAUACAAUGAACUGGUAGGCCUAAUUUUACUUCAAAUGUCGUUUUUCUGCAGACAACGAACCCCGCACCAUGUCACUACGAGGGCAGGCCUCAUUCAACCCCACACGUUAUCACAUCAAGUUUCAAAUCAAAAACACCCAGAUUCAAGACUUCGCAUACGAGAGUACCGGGACCGGGGUCGUACGAUAAGACAUACCAAUCACCGCAACCUGCUACAAUCGCUAAGAUGGGACGAAAUCACGGACUUUUUUUCUCAAGCGCAUUCGAUCAUUAAUGAUCUAUAUCAAACGAAAAUUACGCAAUCAUCUGGGACUAUGUGUGAAUAAUGUAUGAUGUCGAUGGAAAGGUCUACUGUAUAUAUGUACAUUAUGAUAUGAACUUAUUAUUUUUAAUACCAAUAACCCGGUUUAAUUGGAUGUGGCCUUACUAAAUAAAGAAAGAGGUUUUAUUUUAAAGAUUAGUCCUAUAUAAAGGGGUAGGCUUAUGUUUUACGUACCUGUGUGGUGUACGGUACAGUACUUCAUGAAGAAAAUAUUUAAUUGUACCCUCCAAAAACGGAUAGCAUCAAACUUCUCAGUGAUAAAGUAUAAUCAAGUCAGACCAUAAUGUUAUGGAGGGCUUACCGAACACAGACAAUUGUUGUUUUUUCGGAGUGAUACCCACAGUGAUUUCUUUUGUUUUUGUAAUUUCCUCUUCAUAUCUUUUAAUUGGCACGAUUCACCUUUAGGCCUAUUAAUUGUUAAUUAUAUGAGCCAAUAUAUUUAAAAAAAUAUAUAUAAUUGUGUAUUGGGAUUGGAUUGGAUUGGGUCUCUAAGCUACACGUCAUUCAUGGUUACGCGCCGUAUGUUGUUUUACACGGUUGUACCGCACCGUACGUGUCGGAAGAUAAAGUUGUAUUUACGUCACUUUAAACGCAAUAUAAUAUCUUGACUUGACUUGCCUUAAUUAUCAUUUCAAAAUAAUUUACCAGUACUAGUCUUCACUUGGAUUAAGACUAAUGCUAAAUUAUUGAUUUUAAUAAAGUAUUUGAGAAUGUA
Anneissia japonica is the source of this 1193-nucleotide long non-coding RNA. RefSeq lists it as uncharacterized. Lineage: Eukaryota; Metazoa; Echinodermata; Crinoidea; Comatulida; Comatulidae. The record is from RefSeq and is a predicted model, not a curated record. The transcript has 2 exons.